CUGACAUUAGAUACCCGCGUAGUCCAGGGUGUAAACGCUGCAGACUUGGUGUUGGGGGCCCUUUGGGGGCAUUCAGUGCCGGAGAGAAGUUGUUAAGUCUGCUACUUGGGGAGUACGUCCGCAAGGAUGAAACUUAAAGGAAUUGGCGGGGGAGCACCGCAACGGGAGGAGCGUGCGGUUUAAUUGGAUUCAACACCGUAAACUCACCAGGGAAGACUGUUACAUGAAGGCCGAGAUGAAGACUCUGCUAGAUUUUCAG
This 259-nucleotide ribosomal RNA is filed under the name uncultured archaeon. RNAcentral describes it as "partial 16S ribosomal RNA". It matches the Rfam family "Archaeal small subunit ribosomal RNA", at positions 725 to 982 of the family's 1478-position model. The record is from RNAcentral.